CUCAUAGCGUAUAUUUAAGUUGUUGCAGUUAAAAAGCUCGUAGUCGGAUUUUGGCUGAGAACGAACGGUCCGCCGUUAGGUGUGCACUGUUUGGUCUCAGCUUCCUGGUGAGGAGGUGUGCUUCACGGCCACUUAGUCACCGUGGUUACUUUGAAAAAAUUAGAGUGUUCAAAGCGGGCUUACGCUUGAAUAUAUUAGCAUGGAAUAACACCAUAGGACUCCUGUCCUAUUUCGUUGGUCUCGGGACGGGAGUAAUGAUUAAGAGGAACAGUUGGGGGCAUUCGUAUUUCAUUGUCAGAGGUGAAAUUCUUGGAUUUAUGAAAGACGAACUUCUGCGAAAGCAUUUGCCAAGGAUGUUUUCAUUGAUCAAGAACGAAAGUUGGGGGCUCGAAGAUGAUUAGAUACCAUCCUAGUCUCAACCAUAAACGAUGCCGACUAGGGAUUGGCGGAGGG
Molecule: ribosomal RNA, 453 nt
Filed under: uncultured eukaryote
Lineage: Eukaryota
Description: SSU rRNA
Rfam family: Eukaryotic small subunit ribosomal RNA
Source: RNAcentral